AAGUGGGGUGUCCCGGCGCCUGCGCAGUGCGGCCCGCGGCGGGGCUGAGAUGGAGGCGACGACAACGCCGACGAUGAGGAGUCGUGACGAGAGCGGGGAAGGGCGAGGCCGGGUCUGCGAGGGUGGCGACAAGGCCCUGAGCCCCGGUCCCCCUCAGGGGCGGCCGCAGGAGCUGCCCAAACACUCCUACUGGUUCGACCUCUGGCUCUUCCUCCUCUUCGACCUGGCGCUCUUCGUCUUCGUCUACCUGUUGCCCUGACUGAAUUCCCUGAAACCUGCAAUAAGGAAUUGGCUUUUUGUUUUGGUGUCUUCCAAGAAUGUUGACCUUCUAAGCAAGAAGUGCAAAGAGAAGAAAGAUGGGAUGUGCAAUAGAGGACUUCUUUGCAGCUGUAGGACUACUUGGUUUGCUACAAAGGAUCUUCUACAGUAUGUAGGUGAAGGCCCCUUACCCCGUUAAAUCAGAUCCAUUACCCUAUUAGUGCAAAUGUACAUUUGGAUUCAUUUUAAAGUAACUUCUAAACACAUCUGUUGGCUUAACAAUAAACAUAUGAUGGGAUUUUUGAAUUUGCCAUUGUGAGGACAGUAUUAAACGUUUGAAAGCAAA
This is a long non-coding RNA of Tachyglossus aculeatus (Australian echidna), 604 nucleotides long. RefSeq lists it as uncharacterized. Lineage: Eukaryota; Metazoa; Chordata; Mammalia; Monotremata; Tachyglossidae. The transcript is spliced from 2 exons. The record is from RefSeq and is a predicted model, not a curated record.